Molecule: long non-coding RNA, 168 nt
Organism: Thalassophryne amazonica
Lineage: Eukaryota; Metazoa; Chordata; Actinopteri; Batrachoidiformes; Batrachoididae
Exons: 2
Source: RefSeq, a predicted model, not a curated record
ACCUGAAUCUGAUUGAACAUUGAGAUCUGAAAAUGGCUGUGCACCGACGCUCCCCAUCCAACCUGAUCGAGCUUGAGAGGUGAUGCAAAGAGGAAUGGGCAUAUCUGUCCAAAGACAGGUGCACCAAGCUUGUGGAAUCAUAUUCAAGAAGACAAGGCUGGAAAUACU